Molecule: ribosomal RNA, 113 nt
Filed under: Acanthosepion pharaonis
Lineage: Eukaryota; Metazoa; Mollusca; Cephalopoda; Sepiida; Sepiidae
Source: RNAcentral
UUACGGCCAUAUCACGUUGGCACACCGGUUCCCGUACGAUCACCGAAGUUAAGCAACGUCGAGCCUGAUCUAUAUCUCGAUGAGUGACCGCUUGGGAAUACCAUGUUCUGUAA